GUCCCCACUGUAUGUGUUUACCACUAUGACAGGGUAGGUCCCCACUGUAUGUGUUUACCACUAUGACAGGGUAGGUCCCCACUAUGUGUUUACCACUAUGACUGGGUAGGUCCCCACUGUAUGUGUUUACCACUAUGACAGGGUAGGUCCCCACUGUAUGUGUUUACCACUAUGACAGGGUAGGUCCCCACUAUGUGUUUACCACUAUGACAGGGUAGGUCCCCACUGUAUGUGUUUACCACUAUGACAGGGUAGGUCCCCACUAUGUGUUUACCACUAUGACUGGGUAGGUCCCCACUGUAUGUGUUUACCACUAUGACAGGGUAGGUCCCCACUAUGUGUUUACCACUAUGACUGGGUAGGUCCCCACUAUGUGUUUACCACUAUGACAGGGUAGGUCCCCACUGUAAGCCUAAUAUUAAAGUAGUCUCGAGGUAUUGCUCGCCCGAGGUAGAGUACCUCAUGAUAAGCUGUAGACCACACUGUCUACCAAGAGCGUUCUCAUCGCCGUCUACAAACCGUUGCUGGUGCUAAGACCGCACUCCGUAGCCGAUGUGAGCAAGACCUUUAAACAGGCCGCGGGGCCAGACGGGUUACCAGGACGUGGACUCGGCGCAUGCGUGGACCAACUGGCAAGUGUCUUCACUGACAUUUUCAACCUCUACCUGACUGAGUCUGUAAUACCUAC
Molecule: long non-coding RNA, 688 nt
Organism: Oncorhynchus tshawytscha (Chinook salmon)
Lineage: Eukaryota; Metazoa; Chordata; Actinopteri; Salmoniformes; Salmonidae
Source: Ensembl